RNAcentral lists this ribosomal RNA (299 nucleotides) under uncultured bacterium. RNAcentral describes it as "partial 16S ribosomal RNA". It matches the Rfam family "Bacterial small subunit ribosomal RNA", at positions 335 to 651 of the family's 1533-position model. The record is from RNAcentral.
GUACCUACGGGGGGCAGCAGUGGGGAAUAUUGCACAAUGGGGGAAACCCUGAUGCAGCAACGCCGCGUGAAGGAAGACGGUUUUCGGAUUGUAAACUUCUGUUCUUAGUGAAGAAGAAUGACGGUAGCUAAGGAGCAAGCCACGGCUAACUACGUGCCAGCAGCCGCGGUAAUACGUAGGUGGCGAGCGUUAUCCGGAAUGAUUGGGCGUAAAGGGUGCGUAGGCGGCCUGCUAAGUCUGGAGUGAAAGGUACCGGCUCAACCGGUACAGGCUCUGAAAACUGGCGGGCUAGAGAGCAG